RNAcentral lists this ribosomal RNA (253 nucleotides) under uncultured bacterium. RNAcentral describes it as "partial 16S ribosomal RNA". It matches the Rfam family "Bacterial small subunit ribosomal RNA", at positions 524 to 776 of the family's 1533-position model. The record is from RNAcentral.
UACGGGGGGGGCAAGCGUUGUUCGGAAUUACUGGGCGUAAAGGGCUCGUAGGCGGCCAACUAAGUCGGACGUGAAAUCCCUCGGCUUAACCGGGGAACUGCGUCCGAUACUGGAUGGCUUGAGAUUGGGAGAGGGAUGCGGAAUUCCAGGUGUAGCGGUGAAAUGCGUAGAUAUCAUCAGGAACACCGGAGGCGAAGGCGGCUCACUGGGGGUCUUCUGACGCUGAGGAACGAAAGCCAGGGGAGCGAACGGG